Molecule: long non-coding RNA, 291 nt
Filed under: Elaeis guineensis (African oil palm)
Lineage: Eukaryota; Viridiplantae; Streptophyta; Magnoliopsida; Arecales; Arecaceae
Description: long non-coding RNA (EGUI_LNC018137)
Source: RNAcentral
UGAUAGCAAGAGAAGAUCUGAUUCUGUCAACAUCGGUGAUAGCAGGACAUCGAUGGCAGAAUCUGCAAAAUAAAUCUCUAGCCGAAGUUGGCUCUAGCAGAGACCCUCCAACACUCAAGUCAGAAGUCUGGAACAAAUGGAAAGAAGUGCACAUUUUGAAAAAAAAGUGAUUGCAUACCUUAGGGGUUCCUUGUGGGCCUCUAUUUAUAGGUAGAGGCUAAGAAGCCAUAAGAAAGAAGGAGAAUUAGAUGAUUAGCCUGGUCUUAUUAGGUGAGAUAUGCUUGUUAUCUC